CGGAAUGUAAAUCAAUUUGGUAGAUGGCUACAUUUGGGAUGUAGAGGUUGCAUGUUCGAGUCAUGUCAUUCCGA
RNAcentral lists this transfer RNA (74 nucleotides) under Agathobacter rectalis. RNAcentral's name for it is "[Eubacterium] rectale tRNA-Pro". It matches the Rfam family "tRNA". From Rfam's summary of the family: Transfer RNA (tRNA) molecules are approximately 80 nucleotides in length. Their secondary structure includes four short double-helical elements and three loops (D, anti-codon, and T loops). Lineage: Bacteria; Bacillati; Bacillota; Clostridia; Lachnospirales; Lachnospiraceae. The record is from RNAcentral.